This 185-nucleotide unclassified non-coding RNA is filed under the name Saitozyma paraflava. RNAcentral describes it as "partial internal transcribed spacer region". The stretch from base 1 to 46 matches the Rfam family "Eukaryotic small subunit ribosomal RNA", at positions 1786 to 1831 of the family's 1831-position model. RNAcentral also lists the same sequence under 1 other name. Lineage: Eukaryota; Fungi; Basidiomycota; Tremellomycetes; Tremellales; Trimorphomycetaceae. The record is from RNAcentral.
AAGUCGUAACAAGGUUUCCGUAGGUGAACCUGCGGAAGGAUCAUUAGUGAAUGCCCUCACGGGCUUAACUAUCCAACCAACCUUUGUGAACCGUCGCCUUCGGGCGCUCUAUAACAAACUAUAACAGUCAUGAACGUAGUAUACAAAAACAAACACAACUUUCAACAACGGAUCUCUUGGCUCUC